GCCAAAACGGUGGCGCGCGCCUGUAGUCCCAGCUACUCGGGAGGCUGAGGCUGGAGGAUCGCUUGAGUCCAGGCGUUCUGGGCUGUAGUGCGCUAUGCCGAUCCGGUGUCCACACUAAGUUCGGCAUCAAUAUGGUGACCUCCCAGGAGCGGAGGACCACCAGGUUGCCUAAGGAGGGGUAAACGGGGCCAGGUCGGAAACGGAGCAGGUCAAAACUCCCUUGCUGAUCAGUUGUAGGAUCGGGCCUGUGAAUAGCCACUGCACUCCAGCCUGGGUAACAUAGCGAGACCCCGUCUCU
This 298-nucleotide signal recognition particle RNA is filed under the name Cebus imitator (Panamanian white-faced capuchin). RNAcentral's name for it is "Metazoan signal recognition particle RNA (ENSCCAG00000011995.1)". It matches the Rfam family "Metazoan signal recognition particle RNA". Rfam says of the family: The signal recognition particle (SRP) is a universally conserved ribonucleoprotein. It is involved in the co-translational targeting of proteins to membranes. Lineage: Eukaryota; Metazoa; Chordata; Mammalia; Primates; Cebidae. The record is from RNAcentral.